CUUGGUGAAGAUACGCGGACGACUUUCACCGUCUAUAUCACGCCUGGAUUUUUGUUGAUUUAAAUGUGGGGCUCUGAGACACGCUCUUGGUUAUAUCAGUAGCAGUAUCUUUGAGAAAGGACAGAGACAGAGACAGGGAGAAAAGAAGAACGACGAAAGGAAAUAUUUUGUAAUUAAAACGAUUCAUGGCAAAAGUCGUACGAGUACUAACAAAUUGCAUAAUAUUAAGGUAAUGUCAUAAUAUGAACGAGUGUUUUUAUGACUCCAAAAAAAAAAAAAAGGAAAAAAAAGAAAAAGAAAAAAAUUAUAAGAAAUGAAAUGAAACGAUGGAUGUAAAAAAGCAAAGAACAAUGUUCUCUUGAAAAAUAUAAAGAAAAGUAGUGAGUGAUCAUUUAAAUAUAUAACGAAAAGGAAUUGUACAAUAUGAAGGAUCAAAAAAAGCCUGGAAAGAUUGCGAGAGGAGAGAAAUAUAACAAAGAAAAAAAAAAAAAAGGAAAAGAAAUAAAAAGAGAAAAGUUUGAGGGCAAAGAGAAGAAGAUAGCUUUCUCACGAUGAGAGAACGCCAAACGAAAUUAUUAUUAUCGGCAGGUACAACAAUACAUCUGGACAAAGAGGCCUUCUUGAAAAUGAAGGGAAAAAGAAAAGAAAAGAAAAGAAAAGAAGACAGAAAGAAGGAUAUUGAUGGUUCAGAAAUCUGUAGUAAUAAAAAUAAAGACAAAAGGAUAGUAAGGGCAUGAGAAAGAAAACGAAUGGAAUGAAACUGUUAUAGCUACUGUCAUAUGAUUCCACCAUGGGAAUUUAGAAACCGGAUCGAGCAAAGCAACCUAGUCUCUCACAUAGCAACAAGGAAACCUCUUAAAGAAUUUCCAUCAUGGUUUCUCUAUGUCCGAGUCCGUAAUUCUAUGUAGAGUUCAGUUGAGUUGGGAAAAAUCGCACGCCAAAUUUCUAGACUUCUAUGGUUUUAUGAUACAAGACAGAUUGAAGAUAGAAGAAAAGAAAAAAGAAAAGAAAACAAAAAUUAGCCUAAAAUAUCACGUAAAAGAAGAUGGAAUGAGCUUGAAGAAAACAAAAAGAAAAGAAAAAGAAAAAAAAAAAAAUAUCCGGAAAGAAGUUCAAUUCAAGUUAGUCAAGGAGAGUUGAUCAGUUAGUUUAAUAUAUUUCUUUGGGAUUUGGUCAUUUGUGCUUUCUUCCUGGCUAAGUGAAAAAAAAAGAAAGAAAGAAAGAAAGACAUUUCGGCAUGGACAAAACAUUAUCAGUCGUUGUCGUCGUCGCCAUCAUCUAAGGCAGUUUGUGUGACGGUACCUCGAUGAAAAACUUUCCUUCUGAGUUCUGAGGCCUGCUAUCCUCAGUUAAGGUCAAUGACCGAAAAAUGACCUGCAUCUCUUCGGAUUAAAUAAAUGGAUUGAUGGUAAAAUUUUGGAAGACUGACAGAGAAACAGAGAGAGAAGAGAAAAAAAAAAAGAGAGAUCUAAAGAACUAAAGAACUAAAAAGAAGAAGAAGAAGAAGAAGAAGAAGAAAAAGGAUAGAGUGAGGGUUACGAAAAUUUCGAAGAGGACGACUUGAUAAUGCAUCAGAACUCGUUGCACCUGUGGAGAGUACAUACUGAUUCGGGCUAACUCCUCUCUUGCGCUUACUUUCUUAGCGUAUGCAUUAAACGCACGUACAUCAGCCUGGGGCCCCAACAGCUUCUCUCUCUUUCUCUCUCUCUCUCUCUCUCUCUCUCUCUCUCUUCGGUUAGGUUGGUGCUCGGACUUGCUUGCACCGGCAAUCACGAUAAUCGUGAAGUUUAUCGAGAAGAAGCUUGGCUGUGAUUAACGAGGAUCGCUUUAAAUCUUCUGAGGAAAGGAAGACUACGUGAUAUGGUUGUGAUGGUAUUGAUGGUGUUUGUGGUGGUUACUAGUGGAUAGCGUUGUUUUCAUUGAAAUACAUGCCAUCAUUCUUUCUCUCUUUCUCUCUCUCUCUCUCUCUCUUUCUCUUGUUCACUCUCUGUCUUUCUUUUUAUCAACUGUCUCUUUUAUAAACCCAUGAAAUUACAAAUGAAUAUUCUUUACAACUUUUGUCAAUGUCAACAAAAAGAAAGAGAGAAACAAUGAAAGAGAGAAAGAGAGAGAGAGAGAGAGGGAGAACCGUAGAAACAGAUUCUAAGCGUUUCAAUUUCAACGUUUAACAUCAAUUCCAAGGGAAAUUAAAUUGAUUGACUUCAAUUGAAGUUUAAUUGAAUGCCAGCGGGAGAUAAAUUUCAUUGAAAAUUGCGACUGCAAUUAAGUUUUCUACUUCGAAUCUAUCACGACUACCUUUUUUAUUUUCCCUUAUGGAAAUAAAUGAGAAAUGACAAAUAAUCAAUUAUGCAUCGAAACGAUGAACAAUAAAUAAUGUCGCAAUAAUUUUUCAAUGAUCGUCAAUAUUCUUAAUGACGCGUCAUUGAUUUAUUUUACGUGUUAAACGUUAAGAGAAAAAAUAUUUUUCGAUUGUCGAUUGGAUCA
Vespa crabro (European hornet) is the source of this 2484-nucleotide long non-coding RNA. RefSeq lists it as uncharacterized. The transcript has 5 exons. Lineage: Eukaryota; Metazoa; Arthropoda; Insecta; Hymenoptera; Vespidae. The record is from RefSeq and is a predicted model, not a curated record.